UGGGGAAUUUUGGACAAUGGGCGAAAGCCUGAUCCAGCAAUGCCGCGUGUGUGAAGAAGGCCUUCGGGUUGUAAAGCACUUUUUGUCCGGAAAGAAAUCCUUGGCUCUAAUACAGUCGGGGGAUGACGGUACCGGAAGAAUAAGCACCGGCUAACUACGUGCCAGCAGCCGCGGUAAUACGUAGGGUGCAAGCGUUAAUCGGAAUUACUGGGCGUAAAGCGUGCGCAGGGCGGUUUGCUAAGACCGAUGUGAAAUCCCCGGGCUCAACCUGGGAACUGCAUUGGUGACUGGCAGGCUAGAGUAUGGCAGAGGGGGGUAGAAUUCCACGUGUAGCAGUGAAAUGCGUAGAGAUGUGGAGGAAUACCGAUGGCGAAGGCAGCCCCCUGGGCCAAUACUGACGCUCAUGCACGAAAGCGUGGGGAGCAAACAGGAUUAGAUACCCUGGUAGUCCACGCCCUAAACGAUGUCAACUAGUUGUUGGGGAUUCAUUUCCUUAGUAACGUAGCUAACGCGUGAAGUUGACCGCCUGGGGAGUACGGUCGCAAGAUUAAAACUCAAAUGAAUUGACGGGGU
RNAcentral lists this ribosomal RNA (573 nucleotides) under uncultured bacterium. RNAcentral's name for it is "partial 16S ribosomal RNA". It matches the Rfam family "Bacterial small subunit ribosomal RNA", at positions 355 to 919 of the family's 1533-position model. The record is from RNAcentral.